Ribosomal RNA from Coniosporium apollinis CBS 100218, 120 nucleotides. Lineage: Eukaryota; Fungi; Ascomycota; Dothideomycetes. The record is from Rfam.
ACGUACGGCCAUAGAUCAAAGAAAACAUCGGAUCCCGUCCGCUCUCCUGCAAUCAAGCUUUGAAUCGGUAGAUUAGUAGUUAGGUGGGUGACCACUAGCGAAUACCUACUGCUGUACGUU